RNAcentral lists this ribosomal RNA (440 nucleotides) under uncultured bacterium. RNAcentral describes it as "partial 16S ribosomal RNA". It matches the Rfam family "Bacterial small subunit ribosomal RNA", at positions 338 to 795 of the family's 1533-position model. The record is from RNAcentral.
CCUACGGGAGGCAGCAGUGGGGAAUAUUGCACAAUGGGGGAAACCCUGAUGCAGCGACGCCGCGUUAGUGAGGAAGUAUUUCGGUAUGUAAAGCUCUAUCAGCAGGGAAGCAAAUGACGGUACCUGUCUAGGAAGCCCCGGCUAACUACGUGCCAGCAGCCGCGGUAAUACGUAGGGGGCAAGCGUUAUCCGGAUUUACUGGGUGUAAAGGGAGCGUAGGCGGCUAAUCAAGUCAGAAGUGAAAACCGAGGGGUUAACUUUGGGACUGCUGUUGAAACUGGGUAGCUAGAGUGCAGGAGAGGUAAGCGGAAUUCGUAGUGUAGCGGUGAAAUGCGUAGAUAUUAGGAGGAACACCAGUGGCGAAGGCGGCGUACUGGAGUGUAACUGACGUUGAGGCUCGAAAGCGUGGGGAGCGAACAGGAUUAGAUACCCUUGUAGUC